UGUUUCCCUUUUUGUUAGUUGCUUUGGAUAAAAGCAUCAGCUAAAUGACUAAAU
This is a non-coding RNA of Larimichthys crocea (large yellow croaker), 54 nucleotides long. Lineage: Eukaryota; Metazoa; Chordata; Actinopteri; Sciaenidae. The record is from Rfam.